This 441-nucleotide ribosomal RNA is filed under the name uncultured bacterium. RNAcentral describes it as "partial 16S ribosomal RNA". It matches the Rfam family "Bacterial small subunit ribosomal RNA", at positions 338 to 795 of the family's 1533-position model. The record is from RNAcentral.
CCUACGGGUGGCAGCAGUGGGGAAUAUUGCACAAUGGGGGAAACCCUGAUGCAGCGACGCCGCGUGAGUGAAGAAGUAUUUCGGUAUGUAAAGCUCUAUCAGCAGGGAAGAAGAAAGACGGUACCUGACUAAGAAGCCCCGGCUAACUACGUGCCAGCAGCCGCGGUAAUACGUAGGGGGCAAGCGUUAUCCGGAUUUACUGGGUGUAAAGGGAGCGUAGACGGUUGUGCAAGUCUGAAGUGAAAGCCCAGGGCUCAACCCUGGGACUGCUUUGGAAACUGUGGAGCUAGAGUGCUGGAGAGGUAAGUGGAAUUCCUAGUGUAGCGGUGAAAUGCUUAGAUAUCACGAAGAACUCCGAUUGCGAAGGCAGCUUACUAAACUGCCACUGACAUUGAUGCUCGAAAGUGUGGGUAUCAAACAGGAUUAGAUACCCUGGUAGUC